CGCCUCUUGUUAAACAGAACAUAAGAGGUCCCGCCUGCCCUGUGACUAUAAGUUUAACGGCCGCGGUAUUUUGACCGUGCAAAGGUAGCGCAAUCACUUGUCUUUUAAAUGAAGACCCGUAUGAAUGGCACAACGAGGGCUUAACUGUCUCCUUUUUCCCGUCAAUGAAAUUGAUCUCCCCGUGCAGAAGCGGGGAUACGCCCAUAAGACGAGAAGACCCUAUGGAGCUUUAGGCUUCUGAACGACUAUGUUUAAGCCCCUAGCACAAAAGACAAAACUAAUUAGACCCCGUUCAAAUGCCUUUGGUUGGGGCGACCGCGGGGAAAUAAAAAACCCCCACGUGGACUAAGAACACAACUCCUCUUAAAACCAAGAACCACCACUCUAAGCAACAGAACUUCUGACCAAAAAUGAUCCGGCAAAGCCGAUCAACGGACCGAGUUACCCUAGGGAUAACAGCGCAAUCCCCUUCUAGAGCCCAUAUCGACAAGGGGGUUUACGACCUCGAUGUUGGAUCAGGACAUCCUAUUGGUGCAGCCGCUAUUAAGGGUUCGUUUGUUCAACGAUUAAAGUCCU
This 576-nucleotide ribosomal RNA is filed under the name Cichla temensis (speckled pavon). Its description in RNAcentral is "partial 16S ribosomal RNA". It matches the Rfam family "Bacterial large subunit ribosomal RNA", at positions 1816 to 2597 of the family's 2925-position model. Lineage: Eukaryota; Metazoa; Chordata; Actinopteri; Cichliformes; Cichlidae. The record is from RNAcentral.